GCAGAAUACGUUUUUCAUUGUCCAUGCGCUGCAAGGUUUCAAGACCCAUCAAUUUUGACAACCCAUCCAAUAUCAUUAUCAAAAGCCCAUAAAAAACUUGCAGAUUCUUAGCUAGACUUAUUAUGUACAUACCACCACACGAACACCCUUUGUCCAAUUUCUUGGCCUGCUUUAGCAAAGACACCAAUAAACUCAAGGC
RNAcentral lists this long non-coding RNA (199 nucleotides) under Ricinus communis (castor bean). Its description in RNAcentral is "long non-coding RNA (RCOM_LNC000227)". The record is from RNAcentral. Lineage: Eukaryota; Viridiplantae; Streptophyta; Magnoliopsida; Malpighiales; Euphorbiaceae.